Molecule: long non-coding RNA, 433 nt
Organism: Alexandromys fortis (reed vole)
Lineage: Eukaryota; Metazoa; Chordata; Mammalia; Rodentia; Cricetidae
Exons: 3
Source: RefSeq, a predicted model, not a curated record
CAAAUGCACAGAGCUCCACCUGUCUCUGUUUCCUGAGUGCUGGAACUGAAGGUGUAUGCCACUAUGCCUGGCAAGUUCUGCUGUUUUAACCUAUCAAAACUGUGGUACUUUGUUACAGCUCUGACCCCAAACACAACCCAAGAGACACAGGCCUCGCCGAUUACAGGGUCCACCACCUCCCAAGAGAGCCAAGCCUGGGACGAAGCCUUUAGCAGACAUCCCAGGCCCAAAUGACACCAUCCCAUAUCUGCCGUGGCUCAGUUUUGUUUUGGAGGAUGUGAUGCGACCUUACACUGCUACGACUUUGCCGCCAUGAUAGACCGUGAGCCAAAAUGAUCCCUUCCUUCAUCAAACUGCCUGUGCCAGGCACGUGUCACAGCAAGGAGAAAAACAACAAAUACCGGGGCGCUAAAGCAUUUUACCUACCGAAAGA